This 542-nucleotide ribosomal RNA is filed under the name uncultured bacterium. Its description in RNAcentral is "bacterial SSU rRNA". It matches the Rfam family "Bacterial small subunit ribosomal RNA", at positions 28 to 526 of the family's 1533-position model. The record is from RNAcentral.
GACGAACGCUGGCGGCGUGCCUAAUACAUGCAAGUCGAACGCGUCUACGUUAAUGAAAUCAAUGUGCUUGCACGGCGAUGGAUUUAACAUUAGACGAGUGGCGAACUGGUGAGUAACACGUGGGUAACCUGCCCUCAAGCAGGGGAUAACACUUGGAAACAGGUGCUAAUACCGUAUAACAACAAAAACCGCAUGGUUUUUGUUUGAAAGAUGGUUUCGGCUAUCACUUGAGGAUGGACCCGCGGCGUAUUAGCUAGUUGGUGAGGUAAUGGCUCACCAAGGCAAUGAUACGUAGCCGACCUGAGAGGGUAAUCGGCCACAUUGGGACUGAGACACGGCCCAAACUCCUACGGGAGGCAGCAGUAGGGAAUCUUCCACAAUGGACGAAAGUCUGAUGGAGCAACGCCGCGUGAGUGAAGAAGGGUUUCGGCUCGUAAAACUCUGUUGUUAAAGAAGAACAGGUGUAAGAGUAACUGUUUACACCGUGACGGUAUUUAACCAGAAAGCCACGGCUAACUACGUGCCAGCCGCCGCCGUAACAC